This 955-nucleotide long non-coding RNA is filed under the name Capsicum annuum. RNAcentral's name for it is "long non-coding RNA (CANN_LNC020473)". The record is from RNAcentral. Lineage: Eukaryota; Viridiplantae; Streptophyta; Magnoliopsida; Solanales; Solanaceae.
AGGGGGAAAAGAGUUGAGGGAAUAAUAAUUGUAGGACAAUUUUUUGUGGUUUUCUUGAGGAUGAGUUAGUGGAAAUAUUUGUGAAAGAAUUAAUAAAAGGGUGGUGGUGGUGGUGAUGCAUAUGAAACUCCUAUUACUGGUGGUAACGGACCUUCGUAGACCGGUGCUGGUGGCGGUGAGGGAGGGGGAGGAGAAUUGUAGUAGUACACAGGUGAUGGUGGCGGUGGUGAGGGUGAUGGUGGGGGCGGGGAGUUGUAGUGGUAAACGGGUGGUGGUGGAGGAGAUGGUGAUGGAGGUGGCUCUAUGCAAGGAGGGGGUGGGGGUGGGGGUUCUAUACAAGGUACCGGGGAUGGAGGUGGAGGCAAAUGAGGCGGUGGAGGGGAGGAGUAUACUGGUGGAGGAGGUGAAUUUGGUGGUGGAGGUGAUGAGUAUAUGUAUACAGGUGGUGGAGGUGGUGAAUUUGGUGGUGGAGGAGGCGGAGGUGGUGGUGAAUUGUAGUAGUAAGGUGAAGGGGGUGGAGGUGAGUGAGCAAGCGGUGGUGGCGGAGGAGGUGGUGAAUUUGGUGGUGGAGGUGGUGGUGAGCGUACACAAUAAGGUAAUGGUGAUGGAGGAGGAGGUGAUGGUGGUGGUGGUGGUGGUGGUGGCGAGUAAACAGGUGGUGGAGGAGGUGGUGGUGAUGGUGGAGUAGGAGAGGGUGGUGGUGGCGAAUAAACAGGUGGGGGGGGUGGAGGAGGUGGAGGUGGCGGAGAGGGAGGUGGCGGAGAGGGAGGUGAAUAAACGGGAGGUGGAGGUGACGGAGGAGGCGGAGGAGGUGAAUAAACGGGAGGUGGAGGCGGAGGAGGCGAUGGAGGAGGUGGUGGUGGUGGUGAAGGUGAAGGAGGAUUAUAAACUGGUGGUGGCGGAGGCGAAUAGACGGGCGAUGGAGGGGGAGAAAUGGGCACGACGACAACAGGAG